RNAcentral lists this non-coding RNA (25 nucleotides) under Mus musculus (house mouse). Lineage: Eukaryota; Metazoa; Chordata; Mammalia; Rodentia; Muridae. The record is from RNAcentral.
UGUAAGCUGUCAUGGUUUCUCCUGC